AGCUAUGUGGCUAACGCUCCCCUGCCGCCAGGGAUAAAAAAAACCUCAAUUACCUAAGAGACCGGUUCAAAAGUUUGCUCGGUUGUUCUGGCAUAACAGACUUGCCGCUCGGUGCCUGUUUGCCUGACAGGAGAAAAAUUGAUCUGCUGACGUGACGUCAGCACGGUGGCUUGUGCCGUGACACUUGGGCAGGCGCUCUGGGAACUGCAGUCCUCGUGGGCUCCCACCAGGGUCUGAAAUCCACCAAGUGUUUGAGGAAACCAUGAAAAUAAUGCCUGCCGUUUCAUUUACGCAGGGGCAUAGACCGGAAACCUCUUCUGGCCUUGGACAGCGCUGUGGUAGAGUUUGCUUUGUGCCAGUCUGUAGCUCAUCACCGGGUCCUGGAUGAAAGGUUUAUGACACCCCAACAUCAUCCCCAUUCUGCUUCAUUAUGUAACGAUUAACUUCUAAGGACUCCGUUUACUUUGUGACCUUUGGCGUCUGAUACUUCUCGUAUGCCAAACAUUUGAGGGCACAUGAGGAAUACUUUUAACCAAUAUUAUGGUUUUGUUAAUGUAUUGCAAACUAUUUCUACAAGAGCAGCAUCAAAGUUUUAUCUGCUAAAUAAAUAUUACAGGGCUAAGCUAGUACACAGAGUAGAUCUGGAGGAAUUUCCGCGCUGGAGCAGACCCAAAGUCCAUCUAGAGAACAGCUCUGUACAAUUGGCAUACGGUGAUGAGUGAAACUGGAGCUUCAGCAAGUUUGUCCGAGACGGAGAACCAGUCUCAAUGUCUUCCUGAAAAGGACUGCUUUUGCUCAGCUCCCUUUGCUGCAGCGCCACCUCCCUUGUUCUGAUCCGAUAAAAGUCUUCUGUCUGUACCAUAAAAACCUGGAAUCCUGCGGAAAUGCUGAACGCAAAGCACUUAAAACUGCGCACGUGUACCCAAGUCGGAGGAGUAGAACAUGGUUACUAACAGCCAGCCACGCUACAGUCAUUGAAAGGGGAAUGCAGAUCCUGGCAGGUUCAGUGGGCAUCCAGAGCAGCCGACAGCACUGCCGGGAUGAGCGGGCGGCAGGAGCAGCGAGGAAGAUGUUGCAUGCUCAGCAGGGCGAUGAAGUUGUUUUGCAACACAGGCGUGUUCCAGGUGACUGCUGGGUCACUUUGGUCGGUGGGGUUGGAAGAGAGCCGUUGUCUGCUUCCUCGAUGAUCUACCAGCUCUUAUGUUUGGUGCACCUACCCUCUGAAGACGAUCCAAGAGUCAUCUUGUGCAGUGUCACCCUGGUGAGUUUUAUUUACAACCAAUUAAGUGUUUUACUAACCUGUAAAGCUUUAUUACUUUUAUUUACAUUUUUUCCUUGCUUUUGGUGAGGACACGGGCAUAUGGGAAACAUAUUCAUUUUCCAGCUUUACAAUCAGUUUUAGAGAUCUC
Molecule: long non-coding RNA, 1409 nt
Filed under: Struthio camelus australis
Lineage: Eukaryota; Metazoa; Chordata; Aves; Struthioniformes; Struthionidae
Description: lncRNA (ENSSCUG00000006401.1)
Source: RNAcentral